Molecule: long non-coding RNA, 548 nt
Organism: Marmota monax (woodchuck)
Lineage: Eukaryota; Metazoa; Chordata; Mammalia; Rodentia; Sciuridae
Exons: 3
Source: RefSeq, a predicted model, not a curated record
AAGGCAGCAGCUCUCCCAGGCCCCAGGAGGCAAAGGAGCAGGACCCAAGGCUCCAAGAGGAACAGGAAGGACCUCAGCAGCCUCACUUGCUCCCCUGUGUCCCUCUGCUGGCCUGAGGUGUCACGCUCACUCAGGAGGCCUCCUCACCCAGCCAGGAAACAGGCUUUGAGAAGUCACCCAUGAGCCUGCCUGUCAUGGGGCUAUGGAGGCCCAGCUGUGGAUUGAAGCCAGGUCAGUGGAGCCCAAGGCUGAGCUCUGUAGAGGAGCUGAGGAGGUGGCUGUGGCCCAACUGUGGAUGCCUUUUGGUCACAGUGACACUACAGCUGAUUGUGACAAUGGUUCCUUUGGGGUUUAUGGUACACACACCACAGCCCAUCCUGAAGCAGCACUGUGCCUCUGGACAAAAGCCUACAGUGGUGACCUUGCCUUUGUCCCCUCUGGCCUUUCUCUUCUGGGUGUCACACACUCUGCAUUGACUGGACUAUAACCCCUUAACCUCGUCUAAGCCGUUAAAAAAGCUUAAAAGUGAGAGAAAUCUUACAUAAUCA